AUGCGGCCGGAGCUUGGCGGCGGGAGCAGCUGCUGCAGCUGGCAGGUGGGGUGGGGGCCGGUGGAGCUGACCACGUACCGGCCCGGCGCGGUGGCACUGCGGCCCCGGGGCAGUGGGCGCUGGGGACAUGCGCUGACUUGAUCCGGAGAAGUGGGAAAGGGAGCAACAACUGGAAUUGAAAUGUUAAUCAGCCAAGUGCCUGAGAUUGGAGGAGCGGUGUUACUGGGCAAACAAAGAAGGCGGUCAGCCUUUAUACUCUUUAAAGAUAAUCAACCAUUGCAAAGCCAGACUCGCUUAGACAUUGAAGAGGAUUCAAAAUGUAAAAUAAUUUUUGAGCUGCACAUUUACGCUGCUACCUUCAACCUUCACUUGGUUAAUUUCUGCUUUGGGAGCAGCAGGUCCUUGGCAGCAGCCUGGAGAAGUAAUCAGGAAUCUUCCUUCUUCUUCCUCCUUCCUCUACCCUCUCCCUUUCCAGUUAUCAGAAUGGGGUUGUGCACAUUUCAAUGUCAAACAGCCACUUCAAUGGAACCUUUAGAAGGAGUCUCACAUUAGAGGAGAAACUUAUCUCUUGGAGUUCAGCUUGGGUUAGCAGCACUUGUCUCUACUUCUCCUUUCAAUUUACCAUCUUCUCUUGUCAAUCAUGUCAUUGAUUACCCCCCCUCCCAUGCUGUGCCCCUUCCCACGCCACUCUUUUCAGCUCCUGUCCACCACCUCUGUUCCAUGACUGAUUUUGUCAAGGACCCAGAAAGGGCAUUGCUCUUCACCGCGUUUGAGCUGUUACCUGUGUCCGUCACCCUAAUACAUGGUAUGAAAAAUCCUUUAAGCCUAUUACCGAUAUGGUUUCUGAUAACUCCAUUGUAGCGCCUGUGGCUACUGGCCAGCUUUCGAGGACAGCAGAAACUGUUGGGGUGUGAGAAAGCGGUCCAUACCUACGUAUUUUGCUCCCUGUGCAUGGGAGUAGGUGGAAGUAGAAAUGUGAGUGUCAGUCUAUCCAGUAUUUACUUGGAUCUUUUUAAAUCCAUCUGGGUUGUGAGAUAUCUAGCUUGGUAGAGUAUGAGGCAAGCCCUCCCUCAAAAGCAAGCAGUGCAUUUGUCCUAGGAUUCCUCAAUAACCUCCAAAGAGUUUCCAGAGAGGCUUUCCCCACAGGCAGUCAGAAAGCCAGGGGAGCUGGCCCAAUUUAAACUUCAGGAUAUUUGAGCAUCCUCAAGUUAGUCUCCCCUUUUAAGGGUUCUAACCUAGGAUUUCCCCACACAAGUGCCUUGCUGCCAAGCUCCUGCCUCUUCCUGUUGCCCACGGAGGGAUGUACAUGUGAAUGUUAUUCUGUGAAAUGGUUAAGAUGGCUGUGGUGGGGAUUGCAAAUGUGCCACUUCACCAACGGAGAACAGUUGCAAUAAGCCAGACUGUGUGGUGUUCUGUGUGCCACCAUUCUAUUUAAAAGGAGAUUUGUUAUCUUUACAUUUGCAAUGAAAGAGUCAAUUGGACUCAAAAGCUGAGCAGUUUUAUUUUAGCAAAUUGAAAUAGGAAAUCAGUGGAAAAGCGGGGCAGGGUUUAUAGCGAAAAAUAUUAGCUCUGCUUUUUUAAAUAUUGUUUUUAGACGAAGAUAUUGGUUCUGCAAAAUCAUGUUCAUUCUAUUAUACAUCAUUAUUGGCUUUUGGUGAUAAAUUCUCAAUUUAUAAAUACACUUUGAAAAGACUGGAAUUGGUUUCUUUGUCUCUACCGUCAGUAUUUGGGGCAGAAGGAGUGGAGGGAGUGGGCAAAUCCUAUUCCAAGUGGCCCAUUCCAGGAACUGUUUUCCUGGACCAUGAAAACCUCUGGGUCAAAAUUUUUUUUUUUUUUUUGGCUUGUUUUUGUUGUUAUUAUUAUCUGUUGAAUGUAGUUUGUGUUUGAAAUGUUAAAUUUCAGAAUUCCAAAAAUUUGACUCUGGCACACCAACUAGGGGAACAAAGGAGAACAGCAAAACCCUUUAUUCUACCACCUUUCUGGCCUAAUCAUAAAAUAUUCAACCAUAGGAAUAAUUAUUCUGAUAAUAAGUGAGAGUGAGAAACAUGUUAAAAUAAUAAUUCAUUUUUAAGAAAGUAGCCCAAAGUAUGUGACAUACAGCAUACAGAUUAGUGCAACUGACCUUAAGUACUAUAAGAAUUUCUGUAAUUUUAAAAACUGUCUUUAUACUGAAGUAUAAGACAUGAAUAUAUCCUAAUGAUGGUAAGAAAUUGACAGCGUCUAUUACUUGGUUUCUGGAAAAACUGAAUUCUUUGAUAGGAAAUGGGUCAGGAUUAGGAGAUUGGUGCUGCCUAAGCUGGUGUCAUAACUGCCAGUGAUUUUACAGGUGAGGAUGCAUGAAGUUAUGGAUGAGGGUUGGAGAAGCCUUUUUGGGAAGAAAGAAAACAAGAUAGAAAAUUUAAUUUCUUGUUUCAGUACAACUGAAUAUGAUAAUUAAAUUUAAAGGAUUUCUGCAUCUGGGCUUUAUUAUAUUUAAACAAUUUCUGAGGCAAGUUUCUAAAUUCAGAGUCCUAGGAAGAAAUAUGUGUAUGAUUUCCCGACUAAAACUGAUUUAUGACUUUAUUUCCCUUUUUAAAAAAAAAAAAAAUUACCAGAGAAAGGAAACAUUAAUUGCCUAGUGUUAAGAAAUGGAGGAGGAAUACAAAAUAGGAAGAUGUGCACUAUUAGAUGCUAAAUGAACUGUAGGAACUUUUUGUAGUUUUGACAAGAUAGAAUAGAAGUCAGUCUGUUGCUGGAGUUUUCCUGUGGUGCAGCGGGUUAAGGAUGAGGAUCCAGCAUUGUCAGUGGAUGGACAGUGGGUCACUGCUGUGGUGUGAUUUUCAUCCCUGGCCCAGGAACUCUCCAAUGCCAUAGACAAGGCCAACAAACAAGCAAACAAAUGAAAAAAGAAAUCAAUAUGUUGCUUUCUAAUCACAUAAAAAUUUACUCCAGUGGUGGUCAGUAUUAUCAGUAAAUUGAGUACAUAUUUAGGAAUCAAAGUUGCCCUCUCCUAACAAAAGUCAUUUUCUGGUUUUUCAUUACUGUCAUUAGCUACAAUUGAAAUAGCCUUAUCCUGAGAUUUUGAAAGAUGGAAAAAGAAAAGUAGGGUUAAUAAGGCGGAAGCAGAGUUGUCAUUUGUAUUUCGCCAUUGCCUCCAUUGAGAAUGGGUAGAAAUAGUGCUAUUUUUAAAGUAGUCAAUGGCCUCUGCCAGAUUUCUUUACUGUUUCACCAUGUUCAUUAUGUCUUUAUUUUUAAGUUCUCUCCUAUGUUCUUUUAAAAACUUUACUGAUUAGUGUUUCAUUCACUAAAAUAACAUUUCUAUUUAUCUUUUUUUGUUACUCAGUGAAUUUUUAUUACAUUUAUAGUUGUACAACGAUCAUCACAACCAAAUUUUAUAGCAUUUCCAUCCCAAACGUUCAAUGCAUCCCCCACCCCCCAAUCUGUCUCACUUGGAAACCAUAAGUUUUUCAAAGUCUGUGAGUCAGUAUCUGCUUUGCAGAGUUCAUUGUGUCCUUUUUUUAGAUUCCACAUGUAAGUGUAAAAUAAUAUUUUUAACUUAAAAUAUCAUUGAUGUGUAAUAUAUAUUACCAGUGUACAAUAUAGUUACAAUUUUUAAAGGUUAUAUUCUGUUCGUGGUUAUUAUAAAUUAUGACUAUAUUCCUUAUGUUGUGCAAUAUAUCCUCAUAGCUUAUUAUAUACAAAACAGUUUGUACCUCCUAAUCUUCUACCCCAUAUUGUUCUUUUUUAAAUGCUUAUGCUUAAAAUAUUAUUAAUAAGUAAUAUAUAUGAGGCACUGAAAUAUCUCAUUAUCUAGUUUCUCAUUAUCCCUUUAAAUUACCCCAUGACCAGCCAAAACCAAGUGGUAUUUAUUUCCAGUUUACUCGCCAUAAUAUCAUUAAUUUGUUUCUUUCACUCAUCCUGCUUGCUACAUGUUGAAACCUUGCUCACAUCAGACACUGCCUCUUCUGUAAAGCCUUCCCCACAUCCACCUUCCUUUUCCUGUCAGAUGUGUUUCUCCCUUGUCUAAAUUCCUAUGACACUUUCUAUUUUGGUCUCUCUUUUUGUGAGAACACGAUUUGCUCUUCUAAAAUAGCCCUAUAGAACAGAGUCUGUAACUAACAACUUUUUAUUACUUGCAACCCAUAGUACGGUGCCUAGCUAUGGAUGUGCAAAGUAGCUGCUUUGCAAUUUGAUUUUAGUGAAAAAAUUAGUUGUUGUUUCCCAGGGGUCUUUGUCUACCUAUACUCCCAGCAAGUUAGGCUCUAAAUAUGUGUGCAAGUUGGUUUUAGUUGUUUAAAAUUCUUAUAUAAUAAUAAAUAUAGUGAAAGUACAUUCAAAUAGUUAUAUUCAACAAAAGUUAUUGUGAGCUUGGAGUUCCUGUCGUGGUUCAGUGGUUAACGAAUCCAACUAGGAACCACAAGGUUGCGGGUUCGAUCCCUGGCCUUGCUCAGUGGGUUGGGGAUCCGGCACUGCCAUGAGCUGUGGUGGAGGUUGCAGACGCAGCUCGGAUCCCGUGCUGCUGUAAGCUCUGGCAUAGGCCGGUGGCUACAGCUCGGAUUAGACCCCUAGCCUGGGAACCUCUAUAUGCCACAGGAGC
Molecule: long non-coding RNA, 4576 nt
Filed under: Sus scrofa (pig)
Lineage: Eukaryota; Metazoa; Chordata; Mammalia; Artiodactyla; Suidae
Description: lncRNA (ENSSSCG00030046023.1)
Source: RNAcentral